UAGGGAAUAUUGGGAAAUGGGCGAAAGCCCGACCCAGCAACGCCGCGUGCGCGAAGAAGGCCUUCGGGUUGUAAAGCGCUUUUCAGAGGGAUGAGGAAGGACAGUACCUUUGGAAUAAGUCUCGGCUAACUACGUGCCAGCAGCCGCGGUAACACGUAGGAGACGAGCGUUAUCCGGAUUUACUGGGUGUAAAGCGCGUGUAGGCGGCUGGGUAAGUUGGAUGUGAAAGCUCCUGGCUUAACUGGGAGAGGUCGUUCAAGACUGCCUGGCUCGAGUGCAGCAGAGGGGAGUGGAAUUCCGAGUGUAGCGGUAAAAUGCAUAGAUAUUCGGAAGAACACCAGUGGCGAAGGCGGCUCUCUGGGCUGCAACUGACGCUCAGACGCGAAAGCUAGGGUAGCGA
This 400-nucleotide ribosomal RNA is filed under the name uncultured bacterium. RNAcentral describes it as "bacterial SSU rRNA". It matches the Rfam family "Bacterial small subunit ribosomal RNA", at positions 355 to 771 of the family's 1533-position model. The record is from RNAcentral.